Non-coding RNA from Equus caballus (horse), 71 nucleotides. The record is from Rfam. NCBI's taxonomy places the organism in Eukaryota, Metazoa, Chordata, Mammalia, Perissodactyla, Equidae.
GAUGAGAUACCUGUUCCUUUGUCCAGAUCCCAUUUUGAGGUAUCAACGGAACAAUUAAUUCCUCCUAAUCC